GCCUACGGGACGCAGCAGUGGGGAAUAUUGGGCAAUGGACGCAAGUCUGACCCAGCAACGCCGCGUGAAGGAAGAAGGCUUUCGGGUUGUAAACUUCUUUUAAGGGGGAAGAGUAGAAGACGGUACCCCUUGGAUAAGCCACGGCUAACUACGUGCCAGCAGCCGCGGUAAUACGUAGGGAGCAAGCGUUGUCCGGAAUUACUGGGUGUAAAGGGAGCGUAGGCGGGGAUGCAAGUUGGGUGUCAAAACUACCGGCUCAACCGAUAGUCGCACUCAAAACUGCAACUCUUGAGUGAAGUAGAGGC
RNAcentral lists this ribosomal RNA (305 nucleotides) under uncultured bacterium. RNAcentral's name for it is "bacterial SSU rRNA". It matches the Rfam family "Bacterial small subunit ribosomal RNA", at positions 337 to 658 of the family's 1533-position model. The record is from RNAcentral.